GCUGGGCAUGGUGGCGUGUGCCUGUAAUCCCAGCUACUCAGGAGGCUGAGGCAGGAGAAUUGCCUGAACCCAGGAGGCGGAGGUUGCGGUGAGCCGAGAUCGCGCCAUUGCACUCCAGCCUGGGUAACAAGAGCGAAACUCCGUCUCACUCUGUUGCCCAGGCUGGAAUGCAGUGGUGCAGUCUUGGCUCACUGCAACCUCCACCUCCCAGGUUCAAGCGAUUCUCCUGUCUCAG
Molecule: signal recognition particle RNA, 235 nt
Filed under: Callithrix jacchus (white-tufted-ear marmoset)
Lineage: Eukaryota; Metazoa; Chordata; Mammalia; Primates; Cebidae
Description: Metazoan signal recognition particle RNA (ENSCJAG00000083550.1)
Rfam family: Metazoan signal recognition particle RNA
About the family: The signal recognition particle (SRP) is a universally conserved ribonucleoprotein. It is involved in the co-translational targeting of proteins to membranes.
Source: Rfam by way of RNAcentral